This 30-nucleotide non-coding RNA is filed under the name Rattus norvegicus (Norway rat). The record is from RNAcentral. Lineage: Eukaryota; Metazoa; Chordata; Mammalia; Rodentia; Muridae.
CCCCUUCUGAUUGGUGUCUUUCGCACUGCA